Molecule: ribosomal RNA, 265 nt
Filed under: uncultured bacterium
Lineage: Bacteria
Description: partial 16S ribosomal RNA
Rfam family: Bacterial small subunit ribosomal RNA
Source: RNAcentral
GUCCACGCCGUAAACGAUGAUUGCUAGACGUCGGGAACGACAGUUUUCGGUGUCGCAGCUAACGCAUUAAGCAAUCCGCCUGGGGAGUACGGUCGCAAGAUUAAAACUCAAAGGAAUUGACGGGGGCCCGCACAAGCGGUGGAGUAUGUGGUUUAAUUCGACGCAACGCGAAAACCUUACCAGCUCUUGACAUGUUGACUAUGGGGUCUAGAGAUAGACUUCUUCGGUUCGGCCGGGUCAAACACAGGUGCUGCAUGGCUGUCGU